AUUAAACUUAAGUCUAUUGUUAUUAUUCAUAUUAAUUUUUUUAAAAGUUUUUAAGUUUUAUGCUAGUUUAUUUUAAAAUAAUUUUAUUUGUCAUAUUUUAGGAAUAGAUAAUAAUAAUUUAUAAUUUUGAUUAGAUGUAUUUGUUAAUGCUAUUUAAUGGGUGUGGAAAUAUGUAUAAAAUUUAAUAAAAUAUUAUUACAAUAAAUUACAUUUACAUAUUAGUCAGAAAUGGAUGCCAGCCGUUGCGGUAAUUUCUAUGCUUUUAAAUAUUAUACAUUUAUCAUAAAAUAUUGUUAUUUUUAUACUUUAACAAAAAAAAUAAAAGCAACAUAUCUUUUUUGUUUUUAAACACCUUUUGGUAUAUGCAAAUACGAAAUUAUAGUAAUUAUAUAUUAUAUUAUAUUAUAUUUAUUCAUAUAAUUAACGCAUAAAAAGUAAUUAAAUUUGAUACCAUGCUAAGGCAAAAAUAUUGAAAUUGUAAAUGUUAUAAUCAAAAGUUACUAUUUAUAUAAAAUUCUAAAUUUUAGAUAAAAUAAUAAAUUCAAAAGGUAUUGUUGCCCACCAAUUUUUAUAAUAAAAAUAACGUGCAGUAAUCAAUAUAUUUAUAAAAAUAUAUUUUAUAAAAAU
Non-coding RNA from Trypanosoma cruzi, 627 nucleotides. NCBI's taxonomy places the organism in Eukaryota, Euglenozoa, Kinetoplastea, Trypanosomatida, Trypanosomatidae. The record is from Rfam.